RNAcentral lists this ribosomal RNA (484 nucleotides) under uncultured bacterium. RNAcentral describes it as "partial 16S ribosomal RNA". It matches the Rfam family "Bacterial small subunit ribosomal RNA", at positions 30 to 507 of the family's 1533-position model. The record is from RNAcentral.
AUUGAACGCUGGCGGCAGGCCUAACACAUGCAAGUCGAGCGGAUGAAGGGAGCUUGCUCCUGGAUUCAGCGGCGGACGGGUGAGUAAUGCCUAGGAAUCUGCCUGGUAGUGGGGGAUAACGUCCGGAAACGGGCGCUAAUACCGCAUACGUCCUGAGGGAGAAAGUGGGGGAUCUUCGGACCUCACGCUAUCAGAUGAGCCUAGGUCGGAUUAGCUAGUUGGUGGGGUAACGGCCUACCAAGGCGACGAUCCGUAACUGGUCUGAGAGGAUGAUCAGUCACACUGGAACUGAGACACGGUCCAGACUCCUACGGGAAGCAGCGGUGGGGAAUAUUGGACAAUUGGCGAAAGCCUGAUCCAGCCAUGCCGCGUGUGUGAGGAAGGUCUUCGGGUUGUAAAGCACUUUAAGUUGGGAGAAAGGGCAGUAAGUUAAUACCUUGCUGUUUUGACGUUACCAACAGAAUAAGCACCGGCUAACUUAGUG